UACGUAGGGGGCAAGCGUUGUCCGGAAUCAUUGGGCGUAAAGAGCGCGUAGGCGGCCCGAUAAGUCCGCUGUGAAAGUCAAGGGCUCAACCCUUGAAUGCCGGUGGAUACUGUCGGGCUAGAGUCCGGAAGAGGCGAGUGGAAUUCCUGGUGUAGCGGUGAAAUGCGCAGAUAUCAGGAGGAACACCAACGGCGAAGGCAGCUCGCUGGGACGGUACUGACGCUGAGGCGCGAAGGCGUGGGGAGCAAACAGG
RNAcentral lists this ribosomal RNA (253 nucleotides) under uncultured bacterium. RNAcentral describes it as "partial 16S ribosomal RNA". It matches the Rfam family "Bacterial small subunit ribosomal RNA", at positions 524 to 776 of the family's 1533-position model. The record is from RNAcentral.